Manis javanica (Malayan pangolin) is the source of this 1421-nucleotide long non-coding RNA. RefSeq lists it as uncharacterized. The record is from RefSeq and is a predicted model, not a curated record. NCBI's taxonomy places the organism in Eukaryota, Metazoa, Chordata, Mammalia, Pholidota, Manidae.
CGUGACUCUGCUCUAGCGGGACACGUGUCUCCUCCCCCUUCUGGCGGAGUUCGGAGGGGGCGGGAGCUGUGGAAUGUCUUUGUCUUAGGCGCGAGCUCGCGGAGUGUGGGGCCGGAGACCUGUUACGUGCAGGGCCCUUCUCUCAAGACUUUGGCUAAUCUCCUGGUGUUUUGCUUUCACCUUGGAGUAGGAAUUUGGAGACCCGUGUUCCAAACCAAGCUUGGCUGCUGAUCCAUUCCUGUUUCUUCAGAAGCCAGGGAGAAACAUAAAAACUCAAAUGUGCCCUGAACCAGUCUCAACCCCUCAGUUAAGGAAUGCAGAAGGUAAGGAGUCACCAUGGUAACAACAGCGUCAGGUAUGUAGAGAAACUUCAGAACACCAGCAUUCCCAUCAGAGGCCCUGCUGCCGCUGAUCAUGAAACCCCGUCAUCACUUAAAUCACUCUAUUUUAAAGGCACUAGCACCAGUCUGAAGGUAGACAUUUGAGAACCAUUGACAUGGUUUACUGUCCUGUAUUCCUUGGAGAUGGUGUUGUGGCCUCUGUUUGGAUACCUGUGGCAGCUGGGGUGCUGACUACCUUACCUCUUUGGAUCAUGCAAGCUGGAUCAUGUUACCUUUUCUCAUCACCUCUCUCUUGCCUGCCCUUCUUCAGGCUGGUUAAUGUCCUUCCUAUGUGCUCCUGUAUCUCCCCUGCAGUUAUCACUUUUGGAGUACUUAUCUCAUGGUGUUGUAAUCGCCAGCUGACACAUCCCUCAACAGCAAGAUUGCCAGCUUCUUGAGGGCAAGGUCUCUAUCUGUUCACUGUUGUUGGAUUCUCAGGCCCGUCACAUGGCAGAAGCUCAUCAGUAAUUAUUGACUGAAGAAAUGAGCUUUUACCCACCAGACUAAUGAAGUAAUAAUCAUGAAAAUAACAUUUAUUUAAUAUUUACUGUACCGUCAGCACUUUAUGUGCUUUUUGAUCAGCAACAGGUUUUUAUGUCAAGGCAUUUGGAAUAAAAUGAAAAUGGUAAGCAUGUCGUUUUAAAAGGAACAGUCCCUCUUGGAAUUUAUCCCACAGAAUUCCCCUAAAAGGGUUCCAAGAUGUAUGUACAAAAAAGUCCAUUGCAGUAUUGCUUAUAAUAUCAAAAAAUUGGAAAUAAUCCAAACAGCUAUCACUAGGGAACCUGUUACAUAAAUUAUAAUUCAGCCAUACUAUGUAGGCAGUCUUUAAAUGAUUAAGGUAGAUCCAAAUGUACUGACAUGGAAAACUGUCCAAGCCAUUAUAGUUAAGAGAAACCAUUUCUGUUACACACACACGUGCAUGCAUAUAUGAAUACACAAAAAAACAUGACUGUACAGAGAAAAAUCUAGAGGAGCAAUAUAAUACAAGGUGUUGAUACCACUUCUUUAGGUAUGAUUGUGGGGGACUUUUACUUCAUUAAG